This 301-nucleotide ribosomal RNA is filed under the name uncultured bacterium. Its description in RNAcentral is "partial 16S ribosomal RNA". It matches the Rfam family "Bacterial small subunit ribosomal RNA", at positions 509 to 809 of the family's 1533-position model. The record is from RNAcentral.
CAGUAGCCGCGGGAAUACGUAGGUGGCAAGCGUUGUCCGGAAUUAUUGGGCGUAAAGGGCUCGCAGGCGGUUUCUUAAGUCUGAUGUGAAAGCCCCCGGCUCAACCGGGGAGGGUCAUUGGAAACUGGGAAACUUGAGUGCAGAAGAGGAGAGUGGAAUUCCACGUGUAGCGGUGAAAUGCGUAGAGAUGUGGAGGAACACCAGUGGCGAAGGCGACUCUCUGGUCUGUCACUGACGCUGAGGCUCGAAAGCGUGGGUAGCGAACAGGAUUAGAGACCCGUGUAGUCCCUGUCUCUUAUAU